UUUAAUGGCCGCAGUACCCUGACUGUGCUAAGGUAGCAUAAUAAUUUGCCUUUUAAUUAAAGGCUAGCAUGAAAGAUUUGACGAAAGAAGAUCUGUCUCUGCUUAUUUAAAAAAAUUAACCUAGAAGUUAAAAGGCUUCUAUUUCUUAGAGGGACGACAAGACCCUAUAAAGCUUUAUUUAUCAUAUUUUUAUAUGCUUCAAGGAGGCAAUACAAAUUUAUAAAUUUUAUUGGGGCGAUAAAUAAACAAACAUUAUUGACCAUAACGUACUUAACGAAAUUUAUAGAACGUUUUUGACCUUAUAACAAGUUACUUUAGGGAUAACAGCAUAAUUUCUUUCUAGAGUCCUUAUCGACAAAGAAGAUUAUGACCUCGAUGUUGAAUUGAGCUACUUCUUUUAUGUAAACUUAAAAGGCAGGAGUCUGUUCGACCCUUAA
This 437-nucleotide ribosomal RNA is filed under the name Tylos sp. clade E MM-2013. RNAcentral describes it as "partial 16S large subunit ribosomal RNA". It matches the Rfam family "Bacterial large subunit ribosomal RNA", at positions 1923 to 2591 of the family's 2925-position model. The record is from RNAcentral. Lineage: Eukaryota; Metazoa; Arthropoda; Malacostraca; Isopoda; Tylidae.